GCGGGUAUGAUGGAAUUGGCAGACAUGCGAGAUUUAGGUUCUCGUGCUGAGAGGCGUGCAGGUUCGACCCCUGUUACCCGCACCA
RNAcentral lists this transfer RNA (85 nucleotides) under Firmicutes bacterium CAG:555. RNAcentral's name for it is "transfer RNA-Leu(TAG)". It matches the Rfam family "tRNA". From Rfam's summary of the family: Transfer RNA (tRNA) molecules are approximately 80 nucleotides in length. Their secondary structure includes four short double-helical elements and three loops (D, anti-codon, and T loops). Further hydrogen bonds mediate the characteristic L-shaped molecular structure. tRNAs have two regions of fundamental functional importance: the anti-codon, which is responsible for specific mRNA codon recognition, and the 3' end, to which the tRNAs corresponding amino acid is attached (by aminoacyl-tRNA synthetases). tRNAs cope with the degeneracy of the genetic code in two manners: having more than one tRNA (with a specific anti-codon) for a particular amino acid; and 'wobble' base-pairing, i.e. permitting non-standard base-pairing at the 3rd anti-codon position. Lineage: Bacteria; Bacillati; Bacillota. RNAcentral also lists the same sequence under 4 other names. The record is from RNAcentral.